RNAcentral lists this ribosomal RNA (435 nucleotides) under uncultured bacterium. Its description in RNAcentral is "partial 16S ribosomal RNA". It matches the Rfam family "Bacterial small subunit ribosomal RNA", at positions 29 to 507 of the family's 1533-position model. The record is from RNAcentral.
AAUGAACGCUGGCGGCAUGCCUAACACAUGCAAGUCGAACGAAGUCCUUCGGGGCUUAGUGGCGCACGGGUGCGUAACGCGUGGGAAUCUGCCCCUUGGUUCGGAAUAACAGUUGGAAACGACUGCUAAUACCGGAUGAUGACGUAAGUCCAAAGAUUUAUCGCCGAGGGAUGAGCCCGCGUAGGAUUAGGUAGUUGGUGUGGUAAAGGCGCACCAAGCCGACGAUCCUUAGCUGGUCUGAGAGGAUGAUCAGCCACACUGGGACUGAGACACGGCCCAGACUCCUACGGGAGGCAGCAGUGGGGAAUAUUGGACAAUGGGCGAAAGCCUGAUCCAGCAAUGCCGCGUGAGUGAUGAAGGCCUUAGGGUUGUAAAGCUCUUUUACCCGGGAUGAUAAUGACAGUACCGGGAGAAUAAGCGCCGGCUAACUCCGUG